RNAcentral lists this long non-coding RNA (237 nucleotides) under Malus domestica (apple). Its description in RNAcentral is "long non-coding RNA (MDOM_LNC011483)". Lineage: Eukaryota; Viridiplantae; Streptophyta; Magnoliopsida; Rosales; Rosaceae. The record is from RNAcentral.
CAUUACUCUGUCAAAAGCAAAAGUAUCCCAUAUCAGCAGGGUCGAACGUACUCUAGAUUUGAUGGACUUGUUUUGACCCUCAAAUUCUUCAGUCGACCUUAUACUCUGGAGGAAACCAGAAAACCCUCCAGCUCAGUUCAAGAAUAAGCCUGUGGAAAGUUACUUCUUCAAAAGCAAAAGUAUCCCAUAUCAUCUCUUCUCAUUUUUCUUCUCUUUAUCCUUCAUGCUGCUGCAAGA